Cyprinodon tularosa is the source of this 738-nucleotide non-coding RNA. The record is from the annotation of a RefSeq genome assembly. NCBI's taxonomy places the organism in Eukaryota, Metazoa, Chordata, Actinopteri, Cyprinodontiformes, Cyprinodontidae.
CUGUGUGUUUGCAUAUGUGUCCUCCCUCUCUGCUCCCAGCUGUUAAGAGGUCAGUGUUGAUCAGAGGCUGUCCAGGCCUUUCAGAGCCACUGAACCACCAGCAGCACAAUGAUGAUGUUACUGACUCUACUGCUGACCAUCCUGGGGCUCCUGGUUCAGGGUUCAUCAGGAAACAUCAUCCUUACUCAGACUCCUGGAUCUCAGUCUGUUGUUCAGGGUCAGACUGUCUCCAUCAAAUGUAAAACCAGUUCUGGUGUUUUAGACUACCUCCACUGGUACCUUCAAAAACCUGCAGAAGCUCCUAAACUCCUGAUAUAUAGAGCUACAAAUCGUCAAUCUGGAGUUCUAGAUCGUUUCAGUGGAAGUGGUUAUGGUUCUUACUUCACUCUGACCAUCAGUGGAGUUCAGGCUGAAGAUGCAGGAGUUUAUUACUGUCAGCAGGGUUGGAGCACCCCGUUCACACAGUGAUAGAACGUCAUACAAAAACCUCCCUCAGCUGCAGAGGAACUGAUCCGACUCAGCAGCUGAACUGAAACACUAAAAGCUUCCCCACAUGUUACAUUCAAAACUGAUAUACAAACAUGCUUUAUAUAUAUGAUUUCAAGCUAUUUAUCCAUUUCCUUUCAUAACUGUUUCAUUUGUUUUAGAUUUUCUGAUUUAAGCAGACUUUGAUAGAGUGACAUGCCUUGAAAAUUGAAAAAGCUGAAAAUGUACGUUUGUAUAAAAACUUUUUUUUCU